This 400-nucleotide ribosomal RNA is filed under the name uncultured bacterium. Its description in RNAcentral is "bacterial SSU rRNA". It matches the Rfam family "Bacterial small subunit ribosomal RNA", at positions 29 to 451 of the family's 1533-position model. The record is from RNAcentral.
AACGAACGCUGGCGGCAGGCUUAACACAUGCAAGUCGAACGCUCGUAGCAAUACGGGAGUGGCGGACGGGUGAGUAACGCGUGGGAACGUGCCCUGAGGUACGGAAUAACUGCGGGAAACUGCAGCUAAUACCGUAUGAGCCCCGCAAGGGGGAAAGAUUUAUCGCCUUGGGAGCGGCCCGCGUCGGAUUAGCUAGUUGGUGGGGUAACGGCCUACCAAGGCUUCGAUCCGUAGCUGGUCUGAGAGGACGAUCAGCCACACUGGGACUGAGACACGGCCCAGACUCCUACGGGAGGCAGCAGUGGGGAAUCUUGCGCAAUGGGGGGCAACCCUGACGCAGCCAUGCCGCGUGAAUGAUGAAGGCCUUAGGGUUGUAAAGUUCUUUUGCCCGUGACGAUGA